RNAcentral lists this ribosomal RNA (253 nucleotides) under uncultured bacterium. RNAcentral describes it as "partial 16S ribosomal RNA". It matches the Rfam family "Bacterial small subunit ribosomal RNA", at positions 524 to 776 of the family's 1533-position model. The record is from RNAcentral.
UACGUAGGGGGCAAGCGUUGUCCGGAUUUAUUGGGCGUAAAGAGCUCGUAGGUGGUUUGUCGCGUUGUUCGUGAAAACUCACAGCUUAACUGUGGGCGUGCGGGCGAUACGGGCAGACUGGAGUACUGCAGGGGAGACUGGAAUUCCUGGUGUAGCGGUGGAAUGCGCAGAUAUCGGGAGGAACACCGGUGGCGAAGGCGGUUCUCUGGGCCUUACCUGACGCUGAGGAGCGAAAGCGUGGGGAGCGAACAGG